GGGAUAAAUCGAUACCAUCAAGGUAUUACUCCAAUCAGGGGCCGAAUCACGGCUCUCGUGAUCGAGUAAUAUUUUUCGAAAUUUUCUGUUUUGGCAUCACCGCAUUCGUGAUCGAGUAAAAUUUAUCGAAAUUUGGCAUCACCCCAUUCGAUAUCGAGCAGACGUUCGAGUAGAAUUAUUCAAAACACCAUUCGACAGUAAAUUUUGCAUCGAGAAGUGGAAAAUUAAAAUAAAACAACAAAAUGACAAACAUAAACAAAAUCAACAAAAAAAAAGUAUUAUGGCGGAAUAUAUGCAGGAGCACCCGGAUUUGGCCAGAAAUAUUCUGCCAAAUUGCGUUCAAAGAAGAACCGUUGCUCAAAGAUUGUGGGAGCAACUUUCCUUAAAAUUAAAUUCUGCUGGUCCGCCUAUAAAAGAACUUGAAAUGUGGCGUAAAGUAUUUGCAGACCAAAGGCAGAACGUUAAAAAGAAGCUGUCUUUUAAUAAAGCUUCUAAGCAAAAGACCGGAGGUGGGCCUUACCAAGAAAAGCUUUUGACGGCGUCCGAGGAGCUGCUGCUGCAAGCUACUGCAAUGGACGUUUCAGUGGAGUACGUGCUGAAAACUUUCACUUCCCAAAAGCGAUAACGUAGCAGCUAAUUGCAAGACGGAGGGUACUGAUGUGGACAUAUGCCCCUCAAACUCAAGCUCCGAAAGCACGUACUCGAAUGCAGGUUUUGACAGUCGGAAACGUUUUUUGAACCUGCAAAUAAAGAACUUUAACGUAUGCUGCUGCUGGUAAACUUAAGGGAUUGCUUUUGUCACGUAAUCCUCUCCGUAUCUGCACUUGACUGACUACAUUAUCAGAAUCAGGCGAGCUCGAAUAAAAAAAUACUGAAAUAUUCAUUUUAUAAUAACUGAUAUGAAUAUUUUAUUUCUUGUUUACGUCUGAAAAAUGGUUAAAGAUGAUACAUUUACUAAUUGGCAACCGAUUAAUAAUCGAAGAAAUUUCGCUAGCUUACGAAUCGAGUGCCAUGAUUUGCCUAUUCGAUUCGAAUCGAAAUUUUACUCUCCUCGACCGGUCACUCGUUCACGAGAGCCGUGAUUCGGUCCCAGUACUUGUACG
Long non-coding RNA from Rhagoletis pomonella (apple maggot), 1103 nucleotides. RefSeq lists it as uncharacterized. Lineage: Eukaryota; Metazoa; Arthropoda; Insecta; Diptera; Tephritidae. The transcript has 3 exons. The record is from RefSeq and is a predicted model, not a curated record.